Long non-coding RNA from Amblyraja radiata (thorny skate), 142 nucleotides. RefSeq lists it as uncharacterized. Lineage: Eukaryota; Metazoa; Chordata; Chondrichthyes; Rajiformes; Rajidae. The transcript has 2 exons. The record is from RefSeq and is a predicted model, not a curated record.
CCCCGACCCAAAACGUUACCUACCCAUUCUCUCCAGAGAUGCUGCCUGAGCCACUGAGUUCCUCCAGCAUUGUGUGUCUAUCUUAUUUCGCAACAGUCAAGAAUAUAAUUGAGGGAUGCAUGCAUCAUUGUUGUAGGGAUUU